RNAcentral lists this ribosomal RNA (336 nucleotides) under Pipistrellus tenuis (least pipistrelle). Its description in RNAcentral is "partial large subunit ribosomal RNA". It matches the Rfam family "Bacterial large subunit ribosomal RNA", at positions 2211 to 2621 of the family's 2925-position model. Lineage: Eukaryota; Metazoa; Chordata; Mammalia; Chiroptera; Vespertilionidae. The record is from RNAcentral.
GGGCCAAUUAUCUUCAUGACUCCUCACGAGGAACAAACUAACUAUGAUUGAGCUAGCAAUUUAGGUUGGGGUGACCUCGGAAUAAAAAUCUAACCCCCGAGAAAAAUUUCUAAGACUUACAAGUCAAAGAAAUACUGAUAUAAAAUGACCCGCCAAUGGCGACCAACGAAACAAGUUACCCUAGGGAUAACAGCGCAAUCCUAUUCAAGAGUCCAUAUCGACAAUUAGGGUUUACGACCUCGAUGUUGGAUCAGGACAUCCCAAUGGUGUAGCAGCUAUUAAUGUGUUCGUUUGUUCAACGAUUAAAGUCCUACGUGAUCUGAGUUCAGACCGAAC